Molecule: ribosomal RNA, 275 nt
Filed under: uncultured bacterium
Lineage: Bacteria
Description: partial 16S ribosomal RNA
Rfam family: Bacterial small subunit ribosomal RNA
Source: RNAcentral
GCGUGUGUGAAGAAGGUUUUCGGAUUGUAAAGCACUUUCGGUGGGGACGAUGAUGACGGUACCCGCAGAAGAAGCCCCGGCUAACUUCGUGCCAGCAGCCGCGGUAAUACGAAGGGGGCUAGCGUUGCUCGGAAUGACUGGGCGUAAAGGGCGCGUAGGCGGAUUGUACAGUCAGACGUGAAAUUCCUGGGCUCAACCUGGGGACUGCGUUUGAGACGUAUGAUCUUGAGUGAGGAAGAGGGUUGUGGAAUUCCCAGUGUAGAGGUGAAAUUCGU